UACCAGCACCCCGAGUGGUCGGGGCGAUUAUUGGGCCUAAAGCAUCCGUAGCCGGUUCUACAAGUCUUCCGUUAAAUCUACCUGCUUAACAGAUGGGCUGCGGAGGAUACUAUAGAGCUAGGAGGCGGGAGAGGCAAGCGGUACUUAGUGGGUAGGGGUAAAAUCCGUUGAUCCAUUGAAGACCACCAGUGGCGAAGGCGGCUUGCCAGAACGCACUCGACGGUGAGGGAUGAAAGCUGGGGGAGCAAACCGG
RNAcentral lists this ribosomal RNA (253 nucleotides) under uncultured bacterium. RNAcentral describes it as "partial 16S ribosomal RNA". It matches the Rfam family "Archaeal small subunit ribosomal RNA", at positions 474 to 727 of the family's 1478-position model. The record is from RNAcentral.